This 4370-nucleotide unclassified non-coding RNA is filed under the name Hevea brasiliensis (rubber tree). The record is from RNAcentral. Lineage: Eukaryota; Viridiplantae; Streptophyta; Magnoliopsida; Malpighiales; Euphorbiaceae.
AGGGGGGGAGGGUCCAAAACGCCACGAAUUUUUAUGGGUGCUUCGAUCUAUGCCAUCUUCAGUCGCAAAGAUAAUAUUAUCUCCUAGAAGCAAGCCCAUUUCAUUGGGAUUGCUUGUGUUGAAGGAAUUUAGAUUUUAGCACGUUGCCUUGGGCUUAAAAAGUUGGUUCCUUGAGGUGGAAUUUCAUGGGUUGAACUCAAAGAAUAAUGGGUAGCUUGAGUGAAGAAGAAUAUCGGUUUUUUGAUGCACACGAGGAGACUGCAUCAAUUUCUGAUGGAAAGUCCGAUAUUAUUGAGACAUUUGAUUCCCAUUCUAGUGCUGAUAAUUCAAUUCCAAAUAGUCCUCAUUAUGAAGUAUGGAUGAAGAGCCCCAUAAGUGUUGAGGAGAGGCGGAGUAAGUUCUUCAGUUGGAUGGGGGUGGGAUUAGAUCAAUGUUCAAAUGAGAGUUCGGUUACAGUGCAUAAUAUGGAAGGGGAGAUUGAUAGAAUCAGAGAGAUCAGUGGGGCUGUGUUGAGAAAAUCAGUUUUUGAAGAUGAGUUUUGUUCAACUCGGUCUACAAUGUCAUGUUGGUCUAAUGAUAACUCCAAUUUGCUAGAGGAGUUGGGUUCAAAGGUGGAUUUCAUAUGUAGGGAGGGGACUUCUGGUGGGGGAAUGGUGUGCAACGAUGAAGUGAGCUUGGAACACUCUGUAACAGCUGAGGAAUCUGGGAACACUUCUGGAUCAUCUCCCUCUUUCAAACAACUUGUACAGCAGGAAAUUGAGGAACCAAGUACUUUUAUGGGUACCCCAAAAAGUGUGAAGAAGCGUUGGUUGAGUAGACUGCGUUCCAUAGCAUGUGUUGUGGAUAAGCAACGAGCAGCUGAAAAAUUGAGGCAUGAUGGCGAUGACUCGCUGCUAGAAUACAGGGUACAGAGAGUUAAGGUUCGCCAACAUGGGAAGCGGACAAAGGAACUUUCAGCUCUUUAUAAGGGGCAAGAUAUCCAGGCCCAUGAGGGUUCAAUUCGGACAAUGAAAUUUAGUCUUGAUGGGCGAUACCUUGCAAGUGCUGGAGAAGACAGAAUUGUGAGAGUGUGGCAAGUCCUGGAAGAUGAGAGAUCAAAUGAACUUGACAUCCCAGAAAUAGAUCCAUCCUGCAUAUAUUUCACCGUCAAUCAACUGUCGGAGUUGAAGCCCCUCUUUACUGAUAAAGAGAAAACAGCUAAAGUGAGGAACCUGAGGAAAACAUCAGAUUCUGCUUGUGUCAUUUUCCCUCCAAAAAUUUUCCGGAUAUUGGAGAAACCGUUGCAUGAAUUCCAUGGACACAGCAGAGAGAUCUUGGAUCUCUCCUGGUCAAAGGAUCAUCAUUUGCUGUCAGCUUCGGAGGAUAAGUCAGUUCGUCUAUGGCAAGUAGGAAAUGACCAUUGCCUUCGAGUCUUUUCACAUAAUAAUUAUGUAACCUGCGUUCAGUUUAACCCUGUGGACGAUAAUUAUUUCAUGAGUGGCUCCAUAGAUGGAAAAGUUCGCAUUUGGGCAAUUCCCAGUUGCCAAGUUGUUGAUUGGACUGAUAUAAAAGAAAUGGUUACUGCAGUGUGUUAUCAUCCAAAUGGACAGGGAGGGAUUGUAGGCUCCAUGGGAGGCAAUUGUCGCUUUUAUGAUAUGUCAGGUAUGCUUAUUCAGAUAAAUAGCAUAUAGCAGUCUUUAGGGCGUUAAAUUGUUCCUUUUUCCUUAUAAAGUAAAUCUUUUGACUGUAUAUAUAUUAUAUCCUUGUUGAAAUACAGCUUGCAUGACCAGUCUCUUAAAUUCUAAUUUUAUGAUUUUAGUAGUAUAAGGGGUGGUGCUUUAUUUGGUUACAAAUGUAUGAUUUCUAAUUACUUAAUCCAACCAAUGAUGUGCUAGCCUAGUGGUUAGCACUGACUUACUGGGCUGGAGACAUCCCAGGUUCGAGCCUGGGUGGAUGUCAACUGUACUGUUUGACCUAUAGACUGACAUCUUGCUAUCUGCUUCUUGGGGUUUCCUGACCACUUCAAGGGGCCAGUGGGUGAUUAUUCCUGCCCAGCUGGGAUACACCUCCUGCAGAAAAAAAAAGGCUUAGUCCUAGUAGUUUUCAUUGAUUUUGUGAGGAAUUCUCGACAUUGCAAGUUUCAUGGGUUUAUGUAUGGUUUACUGUUUAGAAGGAGAUUUAGCUUUAUGCAAGUGGAGAGUAGCAUGUCUGUUUCUUGAAGGAACUACAGAUGGAUAAGAUUCUAUGAUAAAUAAAAGAGGGAUAAAAUCAUCUAGUAGGCAGUCUAUGAGUUGGAUGUACCUUAAAUCUGACUGUGUAGACCAUCAUAUGAAAAUCAUACAGAUUGCAUAAAGUUCAGAUCUAGUAUGUUGUCAAUUACCUUAAAAUAAGAUAAAUGAUUUAAAGAAGAAUGUCCACAUUAAACUGCAAGUUUUUUGUUUUCUUGUUUCAGACAGUCACUUGGAACUGGAUGCUCGGAUAUGUUUGCACAAUAAAAAGAAGUCACCUUGCAAAAGGAUAACUGGCUUCCAGUUCUUCCCACGAGACUCAACCAAAGUAAUGGUGACCUGUGCUGAUUCACAAGUUAGAAUUCUUCAAGGUCUUAAUGUGAUUGGCAAAUACACAGGUCUAAAAGAUGCAGCAAGCCAGAUAUCUGCAUGUUUUACUUCAGAUGGAAAGCAUAUUAUCUCAGCUUGUGAGGAUUCCAAUAUAUAUGUGUGGAAUUGCGUUGAUCAGAAAGAACAUAGUCCUGUGCAAGCAAAAAAGAUAAGGUCUUGUGAGCGUUUCUCUACAAAUGCAUCUGUUGCAAUACCUUGGUGUGGCUUUCAAAAUGGGAACUCAGAAAAUGGAGGAGGAUUUUAUGUCUCAAAUGAUGAUUCACUAGAAGCUAUGCCAUUUUCUUCACCGGCUGGUUUUUCUUUGGGUCAAGAAUAUUUCUUAGAACCCUUUCCCAAGGGUUCUGCAACUUGGCCAGAGGAAACGCUGCCUUCGUCAAGCCCGUUGUCCACAUCAUCAGCAAUGCACAAAUCCCAGUACAAGUUUUUGAAAGCUUCAUGUCAGAGUACAGCCACUUCUCAUGCAUGGGGCCUAGUCAUUGUGACUGCAGGAUGGGAUGGACGAAUUAGAUCAUUCCACAAUUAUGGGUUACCGGUAAAUGUCUGAGAUUUUAGUGGGUUGACAGUGCUUCAGAGAAUCAGAAAUAGUCCCUUUGGUUGGGAUCUAUAGUGCCCCUUCCAUGGGUAUGCUGCAAAUCAGGUGUUGCAUGGUCUAGCAAGUAGUGUUGAGACAUGGCAGCAUGAACAGUAGCAGCAAGUCCAGAUUUGAGUGAUUGUGCAGUAUUUCAGUGUAGGUGGAUUUUGAGAGUAUGGCCUGGGCCCUUCUUAGAUAUCAGGGGUAUAUGGGAAUGGAAGUUUAUAAUGACAAGUGGCAGCAGUUCUGUGGUUGCCACGUUAUCCAGCUUGGGAUGACCAAGUGGCUGAGGUUAGCUUAUCUGGAUACCCAGUUUAAUCUUACAAUUUGUUCAUUUGUUACUUUUAAAAAUUUUGUUUGCCAGUCCAGAAAAAGAAUUGCAAGUUGUGUUAGGAGAGAUCAAUUAGAGAUAUUACCUCUUUAUAAUGGAGGCGAUCAUGGGACCAUUGUCAAAUUUCUUUUGCUUGCUAAAAUGGGAGGACAGAAUCCAGAGCAAGUGGUUUGAGUUAAUUUGGGGAAAAAAUGGUGGGGAACUUUGCCGUUAUAACACGUUGGCUGAUCUCAAUGAUUGAAUUGUUUGCCGGCCAUUUUAGACCUCAUGGUAGGGUCAUAUUCAAACUCUGUUCCUCGGAAUUGCUUGUUUAGUUAACCUAUUACUCAAACAUCUGCAAGCCAUCCCCAUUUUUGUUUGGUGAACACAUGUCCAUUGUAAAGCUUGUGGCUUUUGCUCAUGGAUGCUGGCUGGCAGUUAACUAACCAUCGGUUAUCAUCUGAGAGUGCUGAUAACUUCCUUUUUGUCUUGCUAACAGAAUUUUAUACAUGUACUCUUUAAAAUUUAUUCUAACAUCACCUGGAUUAGUUUUGAGUGGCUAGGCUUUUAUCUUUCAUUUUGUUUUUGGCCUUUGGAAAAUUUUAGAGGAAAAUUCCUUCUGGGUCUAGCAUACACCAAUUGUAGUUAUGUAAAUAAGACUUUUCAGGGGUUAUUUUUCCCUGUAUACUCUUCUGGCAAUGGCUUGGAAAAUACCAAAGAUAAUUGAUAAGCAUUUGUGCAGCUUGUAUCCCAGACAAUGAAGUCUGUCAAUAUCUUGGAUUCAUGUGGCUUGGCAUGUGUGGAUUUUUCAGUAUUAUUUGAUGAGAACUGUGAUGAACUGUUGCUACUUUACUCAAAUUAUAAUGCUUCCUAAAGUAAAGGUUGCUGUUGA